AAAAAAAAAAAAAAAAAAAGUAGUAUUGGACCAAUCAAGACUAUAUGGCUGCUUGGACUAAGGGAAAUUAGUGUUUGUAAACAUGUGGAGGACGAUUUGAUGCUGUGGAUUGAUGCCUCUAUUAUUAGGUAACUGAUUGGCUUCUACGGGCCACAAGAACUUGCCAUCGACUGAAACAAAAAGACUUGCUAUGACCCUUGUAUUCAUUUUGGCGAUAUCCUUUGCUGAAGUUGGUUUAUUUUCGACAGAUUAAUCGGUAGCUUAGUUUUGAUACAAUUUGUACUCCAUACAUUUUGGUCUAUGUCAAUUUUUUGUUAAGUCUAAGGUGGUGAGAAAGGCAAUAGGCUUUUAAUGCUGGUUUUAGUUUUUUGCUUUAGAGCCCCUGAAAUUUGUGGUUGAGAUAGCAUGUGAUUUGGGCUAUUGAGUUUUUGCAUGGCAGGAUUAUGCCUCAAGGCUGCUUUACAUGAGGAUCCGUAUACCUCUUGAAUGGCAUGUAUGUUUAUGUCCUUUGGUAGUCUUUUGCAUAUGCCAUCACUCAUAAAGGCCAAGUAAAAAUUCAAAUAAUGUGCAUCCACUUGCUGUUAUUAUUAUCUAGAUAGAUUAUCGUCUACAAUGUUAAUUGUGUCAGGUGCUUGAGGAAAUUAGGCCAUACCUUGUUGGGGCGGCUGGAGGAUCUCUUGAGCUAGUGGCAAUCGAAGAGCCAAUAGUGAAAAUCCGAAUCACAGGUCCAGCAGCUGGCGUCAUGACUGUUCGAGUAGCUGUCACACAAAAACUACGAGAGAAGAUUCCAGCCAUUGCUGCAGUUCAACUUCUAUCGUAACAACUUUAUCACCGCACACAGUAACAUCGUCAAACAAAGAGGGUGAAAGCGAAUAAACUCAAAACCUGUAUAAAUAUUACCAUACACUGUACAGUUGAGUUUAGCUGAAUGCAAUUGUUGAAUGUCAUUUUGAAAAUCCAGUUGGAGGAAAUUUUUAAAGGCAGCCAUCUUGUAUUGGCUCUUUGAUGUACACAGUUGCGCUUGAAAUUUAGUGUAGCAACAUUUUUCAUUGCCAUUCAUGCUUGUGAGCAAUUUCCUUUUAGACUUACUAGUCCUUGGUAAAGUUGAAACAGCAUCUCAACAGUGCUUUGGUUCUUUUCAUCAGA
RNAcentral lists this unclassified non-coding RNA (1146 nucleotides) under Hevea brasiliensis (rubber tree). Lineage: Eukaryota; Viridiplantae; Streptophyta; Magnoliopsida; Malpighiales; Euphorbiaceae. The record is from RNAcentral.